GACGAACGCUGGCGGCGUGCUUAACACAUGCAAGUCGAACGCUGAAGACCUGGCUUUUGUUGGGUUGGAUGAGUGGCGAACGGGUGAGUAACACGUGAGUAACCUGCCCUCUUCUUUGGGAUAACGCCCGGAAACGGGUGCUAAUACUGGAUAUUCACUGGCCUUCGCAUGGGGGUUGGUGGAAAGGUUUGUUCUGGUGGGGGAUGGGCUCGCGGCCUAUCAGCUUGUUGGUGGGGUGAUGGCCUACCAAGGCUUUGACGGGUAGCCGGCCUGGGAGGGUGACCGGGCACGUUGGGACUGAGAUACGGCCCAGACUCCUACGGGAGGCAGCAGUGGGGAAUAUUGCACAAUGGGCGAAAGCCUGAUGCAGCGACGCCGCGUGAGGGAUGGAGGCCUUCGGGUUGUAAACCUCUUUCGCUCAUGGUCAAGCCGCAACUGUGGGUUGUGGUGAGGGUAGUGGGUAAAGAAGCGCCGGCUAACUACGUG
This 486-nucleotide ribosomal RNA is filed under the name uncultured bacterium. RNAcentral describes it as "partial 16S ribosomal RNA". It matches the Rfam family "Bacterial small subunit ribosomal RNA", at positions 28 to 507 of the family's 1533-position model. The record is from RNAcentral.